This 29-nucleotide non-coding RNA is filed under the name Homo sapiens (human). The record is from RNAcentral. Lineage: Eukaryota; Metazoa; Chordata; Mammalia; Primates; Hominidae.
UGCCAUGGGAGAUGACCAGACACUGGGUC